AAUAGAUACCCGGGUAGUCCACGCCGUAAACGAUGAGUGCUAAGUGUUAGGGGGUUUCCGCCCCUUAGUGCUGCAGCUAACGCAUUAAGCACUCCGCCUGGGGAGUACGGUCGCAAGACUGAAACUCAAAGGAAUUGACGGGGGCCCGCACAAGCGGUGGAGCAUGUGGUUUAAUUCGAAGCAACGCGAAGAACCUUACCAGGUCUUGACAUCCCAUUGACCGCUAUGGAGACAUGGCUUUCCCUUCGGGGACAGUGGUGACAGGUGGUGCAUGGUUGUCGUCAGUUCGUGUCGUGAGAUGUUGGGUUAAGUCCCGCAACGAGCGCAACCCUUGUUCUUAGUUGCCAUCAUUUAGUUGGGCACUCUAAGGAGACUGCCGGUGACAAACCGGAGGAAGGUGGGGAUGACGUCAAAUCAUCAUGCCCCUUAUGACCUGGGCUACACACGUGCUACAAUGGACGGUACAAACGGUUGCCAACCCGCGAGGGGAGCUAAUCCGAUAAAACCGUUCUCAGUUCGGAUUGUAGGCUGCAACUCGCCUACA
RNAcentral lists this ribosomal RNA (544 nucleotides) under uncultured bacterium. RNAcentral's name for it is "bacterial SSU rRNA". It matches the Rfam family "Bacterial small subunit ribosomal RNA", at positions 777 to 1320 of the family's 1533-position model. The record is from RNAcentral.